This 441-nucleotide transfer RNA is filed under the name Acer davidii subsp. grosseri. Its description in RNAcentral is "partial transfer RNA-Leu". The stretch from base 392 to 441 matches the Rfam family "tRNA", at positions 1 to 48 of the family's 71-position model. Lineage: Eukaryota; Viridiplantae; Streptophyta; Magnoliopsida; Sapindales; Sapindaceae. The record is from RNAcentral.
AAAAUCCGUCGACUUUAGAAAUCGUGAGGGUUCAAGUCCCUCUAUCCCCCCAAAAAGACCGAUUUGACUAUUUCUCCUACCCUCUCUUUUUUUUAGUGGUUCAAAACCCGUUCUCUUUCUAAUUCAUUCUACCUUUUUACAAACGUAUCAGAGCAGAAUUUUUUUUUAUCACAAUCACAAGUGGUGUGGUAUAUAUGAUAUACGUACAAAUGAACAUCUUUGAACAAAGAAUCCCGAUUCACAAUUCAUAUCAUUGCUCAUACUGAAACUUAUAAAUUAUUCUAUUCAAUAAAUCGAAUUCCACGCUCAAGACUUUUAAUACUUUUUUUAUCUUUUUUAAUUGACAUAGACCCCAGUCAUCUAGUAAAAUGAGGAUGAUGCGCCGGUAAUGGUCGGGAUAGCUCAGCUGGUAGAGCAGAGGACUGAAAAUCCUCGUGUCAC